Solanum stenotomum is the source of this 171-nucleotide long non-coding RNA. RefSeq lists it as uncharacterized. NCBI's taxonomy places the organism in Eukaryota, Viridiplantae, Streptophyta, Magnoliopsida, Solanales, Solanaceae. The transcript has 2 exons. The record is from RefSeq and is a predicted model, not a curated record.
AUUGCAUGAGACACGGCCGGGACCCACAUUUGUGGACCUCGAGGGAUGCCUAACACCUUCCCCUCGAGGUAAUUUGAACCCUUACCCUGAUCUCUGGUUCGUUGACCUUAGUUAGACUUAGUUAGGUUAGAUAGGUGCCCUAACGCGCCUUAAUUCGUUAGGUGGCGACUC